CCUACGGGUGGCAGCAGUAGGGAAUCUUCCACAUUGGGCGAAAGCCUGAUGGAGCAACGCCGCGUGGGUGAAGAAGGUCUUCGGAUCGUCAAACCCUGUUGUUAGAGAAGAAAGAGCGUGCGAGUAACUGUUCACGUUUCGACGGUAUCUAACCAGAAAGCCAAGGCUAACUACGUGCCAGCAGCCGCGGUAAUACGUAGGUGUCCAGCGUUAUCCGGUUUUAUUGGGCGUAACGGGAACGCAGGCGGUCUUUUAAGUCUGAUGGUAAAGCCUUCGAGUUAACCGGAGUAGUGCAUUGGAAACUGGGAGACUUGAGUGAAUAAGAGGAGAGUGGAACUCCAGGGGUAGCGGUGAAAUGCGUAGAUAUAUGGAAGAACACCAGUGGCGAAAGCGGCUCUCUGGUCUGUAACUGACGCUGAGGUUCGAAAGCGUGGGUAGCAAACAGGAUUAGAUACCCCAGUAGUC
RNAcentral lists this ribosomal RNA (465 nucleotides) under uncultured bacterium. Its description in RNAcentral is "partial 16S ribosomal RNA". It matches the Rfam family "Bacterial small subunit ribosomal RNA", at positions 338 to 795 of the family's 1533-position model. The record is from RNAcentral.